GUGCUCGCUUGAGCAGUACAUACAAUAAAAUUGGAGCAAUACAGAAAAGAUUAGCAUGGCUUCUGCACAAGGGUGACCUGCAAAUUCGUGAAGCGUUCUGCAUUUUA
Molecule: small nuclear RNA, 107 nt
Organism: Hyaena hyaena (striped hyena)
Lineage: Eukaryota; Metazoa; Chordata; Mammalia; Carnivora; Hyaenidae
Source: RefSeq, a predicted model, not a curated record